GCCAUAAUAGUUUAUGAAUAAAACGGUAAUUUUGUAAAUUACAAACGGAUUAAUCCUUAUGGCU
RNAcentral lists this transfer RNA (64 nucleotides) under Ibidoecus plataleae. Its description in RNAcentral is "tRNA-Thr". Lineage: Eukaryota; Metazoa; Arthropoda; Insecta; Psocodea; Philopteridae. The record is from RNAcentral.